Molecule: ribosomal RNA, 465 nt
Filed under: uncultured bacterium
Lineage: Bacteria
Description: partial 16S ribosomal RNA
Rfam family: Bacterial small subunit ribosomal RNA
Source: RNAcentral
UCCAGACUCCUACGGGAGGCAGCAGUGAGGAAUAUUGGUCAAUGGGCGGGAGCCUGAACCGGCCAAGCCGCGUGAAGGAAGAAGGCGCCAGGCGUCGUAAACUUCUUUUGUCGGGGAACAAAGGGCGCCACGCGUGGCGUUGUGAGUGUACCCGAAGAAAAAGCAUCGGCUAACUCCGUGCCAGCAGCCGCGGUAAUACGGAGGAUGCGAGCGUUAUCCGGAUUUAUUGGGUUUAAAGGGUGCGUAGGCGGUCCGGAAAGGCGGCGGAAAACGCCGGGGCCCCACCCCGGGCGAGCCGUUGAAACUGUCGGACUAGAGACGGCGAGAAGUACGCGGAAUGCGCGGUGUAGCGGUGAAAUGCAUAGAUAUCGCGCAGAACUCCGAUUGCGAAGGCAGCCUUCCGGCGCCCUACUGACGCUGAGGCACGAAAGUGCGGGGAUCGAACAGGAUUAGAUACCCCAGUAC